This 252-nucleotide long non-coding RNA is filed under the name Equus caballus (horse). Its description in RNAcentral is "lncRNA (ENSECAG00000053111.1)". Lineage: Eukaryota; Metazoa; Chordata; Mammalia; Perissodactyla; Equidae. The record is from RNAcentral.
GUCCAUUUGCAUUUAGAGUGAUUAUUGAAAUGCGGGGGCCUAAUGCUGCCAUUUUGUCCCUCAUUUUCCAGUUCUCCUGCAUUUCUUUUGUUUUUCAUCCCAUGAAUUUCAGACUACCAAUUCAGGCCAGCCCAGCCCUGUCCUCCAGUUCCCAUGAUUUCCUGCCAAAUCCAACCAUCAUUCUUUUCCUUGAUCUCAGAAACCACCCCCCAUCCCUCCCUGGUGAGUAUGCUUUCUUGUUGAAGGAUUUGA